GGUCAAGCGGGUGAAGGCAUACGGUGGAUGCCUUGGCAUCAAGGGCCGAAGAAGGGCGUAGUGCGGCUACGAUAAGCCUCGGUGAGCUGCCAAGCAAGCCUAACCGAGGAUUCCCGAAUGGGGCAACCCGCUCAGGUAAAACCUGGGCACCCCCAGUUGAACACAUAGGCUGGGAGGAGGUAAGCAGGGGAAGUGAAACAUCUCAGUACCCUGAGGAAAAGAUAUUAUUCCCUGAGUAGUGGCGAACGAAAGGGGAUCAGCCCAAACCUUACAGGCUUAGUGGUUUCAGGACCUAUGCCUGUAGGGUGUUGUAAGGCAAGUAGGACCGAACCUGGAAUAGGUCAAGGAGUUACAAACCGAACUCUAGUUGAAGGUUUCUGGGAAGGGCAGCCAUAGAGGGUGACAGCCCCGUAAGCGAAAGAGGGAGGCUCCUUACUUGUACUUGAGUACCACGGGACACGAGAAAUCUUGUGGGAAACCGCCCUGACCACAGGGCAAGGCUAAAUACCCUUGAUGACCGAUAGUGAACUAGUACCGUGAGGGAAAGGUGAAAAGUACCCCGGGAGGGGAGUGAAAUAGACCUGAAACCGUAUGCUGUCAAGCAGUCAGAGCCUUGAUUUAUCGGGGUGAUGGCGUGCCUAUUGGAGAAUGAGCCGGCGAGUUAAUCUACGUGGCUGGUUAAGCGAUUUACAUCGCGAAGCCGAAGCGAAAGCGAGUCUGAAUAGGGCGUUAAUGUCGCGUGGAUUAGACCCGAAGCCGGGUGAGCUAUCCAUGGCCAGGGUGAAGCUCCGAUAAACUCGGAGUGGAGGCCCGAACCGGUCAACGUUGCAAAGUUGUCGGAUGAGCUGUGGAUAGAGGUGAAAUGCCAAACGAACCCGGGGAUAGCUGGUUCUCCCCGAAAUGCAUUGAGGUGCAGCCUCAGAUGAUCGCUAAUGGAGGUAGGGCUCUGGAUGGACUAGGGGGAUAGAAUCUUACCAACUCCAACCAAACCGCAAAUGCCAUUAGCCAAAAUCUGGGAGUGAGACUGCGGGGGAUAAGCUCCGUAGUCAAGAGGGAAACAGCCCAGACCAUCAGCUAAGGUCCCCAAGAGCAGACUAAGUGGCAAAGGAAGUAGGAUUGCCCAGACAGCCAGGAGGUUGGCUUAGAAGCAGCCAUCCUUCAAAGAGUGCGUAAUAGCUCACUGGUUGAGUGGUGCUGCGCCGAAAAUUCAGCGGGGCUUAAGUCUGCCACCGAAGCUAUGGCUUCCUCGAUUUUAUCGGGGGAGGGUAGGGGAGCAUUCUCUUCGCCAAGAAGCUGUUAUGUGAGUAAUGGUGGAGCGGAGAGAAGAGAGAAUGCCGGCAUGAGUAGCGCAAGGUGUGUGAGAAACACACCCACCGAAUACCUAAGGUUUCCUACGGAAGGUUAAUCCGCGUAGGGUUAGUCGGGCCUAAGCCGAGGCCGGAAGGCGUAGGCGAUGGACAACGGGUUAUUAUUCCCGUACCGCUUUUGCAGAGGUAAAGGAGGGACACAGGAGGGUAGGUUGAGCGUGCCUAAUGGACAUGGUGCGUUUCCUACUGUAGGUGAUGCUGGGGCAGGUAAAUCCACCCCAGAUAUUUUAGCUGAAGGUAGGGAGAAGUUGAGGGGAAACCCAAGGCGACUCAACCGACCCCAGGCCGUCAAGAAAAGCCUCGUUGCCGGUGAUGUAAGGGCGCCCGUACCGCAAACCGACUCUGGUAGGUAGGGAUAAAAGUCCCAAGGUGAUCGAGAUAACCCUCGUUAAGGAACUCGGCAAUCUAGCCCCGUAACUUAGGGAGAAGGGGAGCCCUCUUAGGAGGGUGGCACAUAAUUGGCCCAGGCGACUGUUUAACAAAAACAUAGGUCUCUGCGAAGGCGUAAGCCGAAGUAUAGGGGCUGAUACCUGCCCAGUGCUGGAAGGUUAAGGGGAGGUGUUAAUCCUUC
RNAcentral lists this ribosomal RNA (1938 nucleotides) under Dehalococcoidales bacterium. Its description in RNAcentral is "partial 23S ribosomal RNA". It matches the Rfam family "Bacterial large subunit ribosomal RNA", at positions 1 to 1896 of the family's 2925-position model. Lineage: Bacteria; Bacillati; Chloroflexota; Dehalococcoidia; Dehalococcoidales. The record is from RNAcentral.